RNAcentral lists this unclassified non-coding RNA (234 nucleotides) under plant metagenome. RNAcentral's name for it is "partial contains small subunit ribosomal RNA, internal transcribed spacer 1, and 5.8S ribosomal RNA". The record is from RNAcentral.
UUUCCGUAGGUGAACCUGCGGAAGGAUCAUUACAGUAGUCGCCCGGGUUGCCGCAAGGCCUCCCGGGUAACCUACCACCCUUUGUUUAUUACACUUUGUUGCUUUGGCAGGCCUGCCCUCGGGCUGCUGGCUCCGGCCGGCGAGCGCUUGCCAGAGGACCUAAACUCUGUUUGUCUAUACUGUCUGAGUACUAUAUGAUAGUUAAAACUUUCAACAACGGAUCUCUUGGUUCUG